GAUGAACGCUAGCUACAGGCUUAACACAUGCAAGUCGAGGGGUAACGAGAGGAAAGCUUGCUUUCCUUGUCGACGACCGGCGCACGGGUGAGUAACGCGUAUCCAACCUGCCCCCAACUAGGGAAUAACCUUGCGAAAGUAAGACUAAUACCCUAUAAUUUCCUCAGAUGACAUCUGACGAGGAGUAAAGAUUUAUCGGUUGUGGAUGGGGAUGCGUCUGAUUAGCUUGUUGGCGGGGUAACGCCCCACCAAGGCAACGAUCAGUAGGGGUUCUGAGAGGAAGGUCCCCCACAUUGGAGCUGAGACACGGUCCAAACUCCUACGGGAGGCAGCAGUGAGGAAUAUUGGUCAAUGGGCGGAAGCCUGAACCAGCCAAGUAGCGUGCAGGAUGACGGCCCUAUGGGUUGUAAACUGCUUUUAUACAGGAAUAAAGUUAGCCACGUGUGGUUAUUUGUAGGUACUGUAUGAAUAAGGACCGGCUAAUUCCGUGCCAGCAGCCGCGGUAA
RNAcentral lists this ribosomal RNA (506 nucleotides) under uncultured bacterium. RNAcentral describes it as "partial 16S ribosomal RNA". It matches the Rfam family "Bacterial small subunit ribosomal RNA", at positions 28 to 523 of the family's 1533-position model. The record is from RNAcentral.